This 301-nucleotide ribosomal RNA is filed under the name uncultured bacterium. RNAcentral's name for it is "partial 16S ribosomal RNA". It matches the Rfam family "Bacterial small subunit ribosomal RNA", at positions 509 to 807 of the family's 1533-position model. The record is from RNAcentral.
CAGCAGCCACGGUAAUGCGGAGGGGGCUAGCGUUGUUCGGAAUUACUGGGCGUAAGGCGCACGUAGGCGACUUGGUAAGUUAGAGGUGAAAGCCUGGAGCUCAACUCCAGAAUUGCCUUUAAGACUGCCGAGCUAGCAGGUGAGAGAGGUAAGUGGAAUUCCGAGUGUAGAGGUGAAAUUCGUAGAUAUUCGGAAGAACACCAGUGGCGAAGGCGGCUUACUGGCUCAUACUGGACGCUGAGGUGCGAAAGCGUGGGGAGCAAACAGGAUUAGAUACCCCCGUAGUCCCUGUCUCUUAUAC